This 327-nucleotide ribosomal RNA is filed under the name uncultured Actinomycetes bacterium. Its description in RNAcentral is "bacterial SSU rRNA". It matches the Rfam family "Bacterial small subunit ribosomal RNA", at positions 28 to 351 of the family's 1533-position model. The record is from RNAcentral. Lineage: Bacteria; Bacillati; Actinomycetota; Actinomycetes.
GAUGAACGCUGGCGGCGUGCUUAACACAUGCAAGUCGAACGAGGUCCAUGGAGCUUGCUCCAGAAGACCUAGUGGCGAACGGGUGCGUAACACGUGAGAAACCUGUCCCGAUCACUGGGAUAACAGUUGGAAACGACUGCUAAUACCGGAUAUCGCCGGAGCACCGCAUGGUGCACCGAUGAAAGGGUUACUGGAUCGGGAGGGUCUCGCGGCCUAUCAGCUUGUUGGAGAGGUAACGGCUCACCAAGGCAUCGACGGGUAGCUGGUCUGAGAGGAUGAUCAGCCACACUGGGACUGAGACACGGCCCAGACUCCUACGGGAGGCUG